UCUACGGGAGGCUGCAGUGGGGAAUAUUGGGCAAUGGGCGCAAGCCUGACCCAGCAAUGCCGCGUGAAGGAAGAAGGCUUUCGGGUUGUAAACUUCUUUGACAGGGGAAGAGCAGAAGACGGUACCCUGAAAACAAGCCACGGCUAACUACGUGCCAGCAGCCGCGGUAAUACGUAGGUGGCAAGCGUUAUCCGGAAUUAUUGGGCGUAAAGAGGGAGCAGGCGGCAGCAAAGGUCUGUGGUGAAAGACUGAAGCUUAACUUCAGUAAGCCAUAGAAACCGGGCAGCUAGAGUGCAGGAGAGGAUCGUGGAAUUCCAUGUGUAGCGGUGAAAUGCGUAGAUAUCACGCAGAACUCCGAUUGCGAAGGCAGCAUACCGGCGCCCUACUGACGCUGAGGCACGAAAGCGUGGGUAUCGAACAGGAUUAGAUACCCGGGUAGUC
This 441-nucleotide ribosomal RNA is filed under the name uncultured bacterium. Its description in RNAcentral is "partial 16S ribosomal RNA". It matches the Rfam family "Bacterial small subunit ribosomal RNA", at positions 338 to 795 of the family's 1533-position model. The record is from RNAcentral.